UACAGAGGGUGCAAGCGUUGUUCGGAAUUAUUGGGCGUAAAGCGCGUGUAGGCGGCUUUGCAAGUCGGGUGUGAAAGCCCUCAGCUUAACUGAGGAAGUGCGCCCGAAACUGCACAGCUUGAGUACCGGAGAGGAUGGCGGAAUUCCCGAAGUAGAGGUGAAAUUCGUAGAUAUCGGGAGGAACACCGGUGGCGAAGGCGGCCAUCUGGACGGAUACUGACGCUGAGACGCGAAAGCGUGGGUAGCAAACAGG
RNAcentral lists this ribosomal RNA (253 nucleotides) under uncultured bacterium. Its description in RNAcentral is "partial 16S ribosomal RNA". It matches the Rfam family "Bacterial small subunit ribosomal RNA", at positions 524 to 776 of the family's 1533-position model. The record is from RNAcentral.